This 649-nucleotide ribosomal RNA is filed under the name Phyllactinia taurica. RNAcentral's name for it is "eukaryotic LSU rRNA". It matches the Rfam family "Eukaryotic large subunit ribosomal RNA", at positions 102 to 766 of the family's 3401-position model. Lineage: Eukaryota; Fungi; Ascomycota; Leotiomycetes; Helotiales; Erysiphaceae. The record is from RNAcentral.
UAACAGCUCAAAUUUGAAAUCUGGCUCCCUGCGGAGUCCGAGUUGUAAUUUGUAGAAGAUGCUUUGGGUGCGUGGCCCGGCCUAAGUUCCUUGGAACAGGACGUCGUAGAGGGUGAGAAUCCCGUAUGCGGCCGGGGCGCCUGCCCGUGUAAAGCUCUUUCGACGAGUCGAGUUGUUUGGGAAUGCAGCUCAAAAUGGGUGGUAAAUUUCAUCUAAAGCUAAAUAUGGGCCAGAGACCGAUAGCGCACAAGUAGAGUGAUCGAAAGAUGAAAAGCACUUUGGAAAGAGAGUUAAACAGUACGUGAAAUUGUUGAAAGGGAAGCGCUUGCAACCAGACUUGGGCGUCGCUGAUCAUCCAAAGUUUUCUUUGGUGCACUCGGCGAGGCACAGGCCAGCAUCGGUUGGGGUGGUGGGAGAAAGGUCGUGGGAACGUAGCUCCUUUCGGGGAGUGUUAUAGCCUGCGGCGCAAUACCACCUACUCCGACCGAGGACCGCGCUUCGGCUAGGAUGCUGGCGUAAUGGUUGUAAGCGACCCGUCUUGAAACACGGACCAAGGAGUCUAACAUCUAUGCGAGUGUUUGGGUGCAAAACCCAUACGCGUAAUGAAAGUGAACGUAGGUGAGAACCCUUCGAGGGGGCAUCAUCGACC